GCGGGUCUGGCCCCCUCCCCCGAGCGCAGACAAAGAGCUGAGGCUCCGCCGCCCCCCACCCCAGUGCCUCUCACCCCAGGUUUGUUUGUCAUGACUGUUUAACUGUGUAUCGGAUUCCUUAGGAAAUAGUGGGAGAACACAAACUGCAGUUUGAAAAAAUCAAAGUUUAUCCAGGAUUCUCAAAGGGAAGCAUGUGAGAACAAUGACUUCCCAAGGUGUUGAUCAUCUCUGUUCAGACAGCUGCUGAUCAUGUGUGGACAAGAUGCACCAUGGAAUGGAUUUCUUGAUCCCUAUCUACAGAUGAAAUCACCUCCUGUGCAGUGCUAGCAGCCUCACCUGAGUCAGCACAUCCAAUGAGAGGUGCAACCUUUGCCAUGAAUAUUGCUAUCACUUCUUGCUUAUUUACCCACCUACCCUGAAAGAUUCCCUUUUCAUGCCAGUCAAUUCAAAAUGGCUUAUAAUUAUACAGUCAUGAAAGCUAUGACUACAAAAACUUAGCAGUUCUGCUGAUAUUGCCAUAUCUGUUUUAAGACAUACCACAUUUUGCUCUUAGUUGUAACUAUUUUGUGUCAGCUGUCCUAUGGUAAAUGCAAUUUCUUAAAAAGAUCAUGCCUUUCUCUCUCCUGGAAUGAAUUAUUCUUCCAGACCUUCCUCCUGGAAUAGAAAUUCAGCUUAAGUAAUUUUCAGAAAUUGUCCUCACAUGUAUUCUGAUAAUCAUAGAUGAUGCAAAUGACAAAGAGUGAAAUAACUGGAAAGGAAUUGCAGAUGAUAAUUUUAUUUUUUUUUGUAAAGGACCAUAUAACUAAGUAGGUGAGAAUCAGAGAAAUUGGCACCUGAUAGAAAGAAGUGUCUCCUGAAUAGGUUUGAAUUGGUUAAAUUUGCUGCUAUUACUAUUGCCAUGCCAUUUUCCUGGGAGGAGCAGCAAAACUAGAUUUUACUGUGAACUUUUCUUUUUGUACUUUACUGAAAGUGUAAGUGAGAUAACAAUAAAAUUCUUUCUUGGUCCAAGAGGUAUAGUGUAGAAAGGCUCUCCAUAUUUUCUUAGGAAACAUUAAGUUUUGGGGUAUCAGCAUUACUAAUCAGAGAUUAACUCUACAUAUGUAUCUGGGAACAUAGACAUGAGAGAUAAAUAGGUAUUGUGUCAUGUGUAGUCAGAAGAGUUGAAGUAUCCAUUUUAGCAAUAAAGGUAAGAUAUUACUCAUAUCUGAGCAAGACCUUACUUCUGUCUAGGCCUGAACAUGUUAACAUGUGGGAGUGUUAACACUGAUCUGCUUAAAUAUGAAUGUGGCUCACACAUCUUGGGCAUCCAUCUAGGCAAAGUCUAAGGGCUCCAAGGCAUGAUUGCAGAUUUUGUGAAGUGGCACACUUCACAAUUUAGGAGUAUAUGCACAUGUGCACACACUAGUCUUUCCUGUUAAUGUUACAAGAAAAAAAUUCAAUCUUCAGUUUCAUGCAUGAAGAGAAUAAUCUCCUUAGGAAAAAUGUUUCAAGCAAGGACAAGGUGGUCCAUACAGAAAGUGAUCUCUGUCUGAAAAUCUGUUUUCAUUUUGUUAACAUCUCUUUAAUGUGUAAAUCCAAUAAUGACUUGCACACUUCCAUUCUCUCAUUAUAAAAGCCGUGGUCAGUGAAGAACUGAAUAAAAGCAAUUCCAUAUGUUAUAA
Molecule: long non-coding RNA, 1661 nt
Organism: Catharus ustulatus (Swainson's thrush)
Lineage: Eukaryota; Metazoa; Chordata; Aves; Passeriformes; Turdidae
Exons: 2
Source: RefSeq, a predicted model, not a curated record